AAAAAAGCUGACAGUUAAUAUGGUAUAUUUAAAGUUCCUGUAACUGCUGCUCUUGUACAGGUUAACUGAAGCACCAGACAACUCCUUCAAGAUCAGAAAGAGCAUCCACCAAUUAGGUGCCUAUCAUACGCUUCAAUGCAUCUCUAUGAGGACAUCCUGAUUGGCUAAAAUUGUGUUUUGCCCCGCCCCCAUCCUGCCUCCUUGCCAAUUCCAGCCAAUCGGCAAUUCUGAUUAUGUCACCAAGGAGGCAGAUCAGGGCGGGGCUUUCGUUGGCUGACCCACAUGGGGCUGGAAAUAAGGUGAGUUUUCAUCUUUUCUAAGGGGGUUAAGGGAGGCAAGCCACCUGAAUGGUGGUUUUAACACUAUAG
Non-coding RNA from Pelobates cultripes (western spadefoot toad), 368 nucleotides. The record is from the annotation of a GenBank genome assembly. Lineage: Eukaryota; Metazoa; Chordata; Amphibia; Anura; Pelobatidae.